This 305-nucleotide unclassified non-coding RNA is filed under the name plant metagenome. RNAcentral describes it as "partial contains 5.8S ribosomal RNA, internal transcribed spacer 2, and large subunit ribosomal RNA". The stretch from base 1 to 104 matches the Rfam family "5.8S ribosomal RNA", at positions 51 to 154 of the family's 154-position model. The record is from RNAcentral.
AAAUGCGAUAAGUAAUGUGAAUUGCAGAAUUCAGUGAAUCAUCGAAUCUUUGAACGCACAUUGCGCCCGCCAGAGUGCUGGCGGGCAUGCCUGUCCGAGCGUCAUUUCAACCAUCAAGCCCCCGGGCUUGUGUUGGGGACCUGCGGCUGCCCGCAGGCCCUGAAAACCAGUGGCGGGCUCGCUGUCACACCGAGCGUAGUAGCAAUCACCUCGCUCAGGGCGUGCUGCGGGUUCCGGCCGUUAAACAGCCUUACAAAACCCAAGGUUGACCUCGGAUCAGGUAGGAAGACCCGCUGAACUUAAGC